UAAAACGACUCUCGGCAACGGAUAUCUCGGCUCACGCAUCGAUGAAGAACGUAGCAAAAUGCGAUACUUGGUGUGAAUUGCAGAAUCCCGUGAACCAUCGAGUUUUUGAACGCAAGUUGCGCCCGAAGCCAUCCGGCCAAGGGCACGCCUGCCUGGGCGUCACGC
This 165-nucleotide ribosomal RNA is filed under the name Malacothrix indecora. RNAcentral's name for it is "5.8S ribosomal RNA". It matches the Rfam family "5.8S ribosomal RNA". From Rfam's summary of the family: 5.8S ribosomal RNA (5.8S rRNA) is a component of the large subunit of the eukaryotic ribosome. It is transcribed by RNA polymerase I as part of the 45S precursor that also contains 18S and 28S rRNA. The record is from RNAcentral. Lineage: Eukaryota; Viridiplantae; Streptophyta; Magnoliopsida; Asterales; Asteraceae.